UCCAACUUAAACCAUACAUACUUCACACACAUCAUAUACUGAAAAUCAAAAACACACAAAAUUGAGUAUCAAUACUUGCAAUCAAAAAUCUACAAAAUUGAGUGUCGAGCACAUACACCCCAUAAUUGUUUCCAAAUAUGAAGCUUCAAAAUAAGAAGAAGAUCAUGAUUAUGAUGUUUUCUUUUUGGACGAUGGAGGCAAUUGGAAGAGAGGUCCUGAUCUUGAGAAGGGUAGAGAGUGUAAGUGAGGAACAAGAAAGAAGAAGAAGCUGUGGGUGAAGUCACUACUACCAUUGCCUGUUUCCCAGGAAAGAAGUCUGGCUACUAGAAAUCUUCAUGAUCGAAUUUCCUUAUUUUCUUGUUGAUUUGUCUUUAAGCCUGAAAUGGAAUUUGUGUCCUUGUGAUUGUGAAUCCUCCACCCUUUUCUCUUCCUUUUGUGCAGCUCGUUCCCGGAGUUGGGCUUGGACUUUUCUGAAAAUUUCAACGAUUUCUCUUUCCCUUGGUCCAGGAUUUGCAGUGGAACGAGAUUUGGGGGAAGGAGAUGAAGAGUUGGAAAGGAAUGAGGGUCCGUUUUUUUGAAGUGAAUGGUUCAGAAUCUUCUAAUCCAUCGAUUCCAUCUCGGUCUUCAGGAUUCCUGUUCUUGUUUCUUGAAUACCCUUGUCGAUUUUGUCUUGAAAAGUUUGAGUUUCUUCUUGAACAACGAUUUUGUGUUCAGAAAGCACUACUUUGACAUCAAGAAGCUUACUGGGGACGCCAUGAGAGACGAAAUGAGACGCCGACAAAAUUGUUGGUUUUUUCUGGGUUUUUAUUGAAUCCAAAUAGGUUGCCGACAAAAUUGUUGAAUUGUUUAUGGGUGCCAAUAAUAGAGGUCGGUGAAACAUUUUUAGGGAAUAAUCCACCAUUGAAGAACCUUGAACCUUGGAGAGCUAAGAAAAUAUUAAAUGGAUCGGGUUCGGUUAUGGUGUGUAGAGGUGAAAGAGACGAAGCUUGGUGAUUGUUUUGUUACAGUUCUGGAUUUGUUCCUUAGCAUCACUAUUAUAAUUUCAUGUAUAAACGUUUACUUGUUCUUUAUACAUGUAUAUACUUGACUAAAUUAAUAAAAUCAAGGUUUACAAAAAAG
RNAcentral lists this long non-coding RNA (1119 nucleotides) under Lactuca sativa (garden lettuce). Its description in RNAcentral is "long non-coding RNA (LSAT_LNC001824)". Lineage: Eukaryota; Viridiplantae; Streptophyta; Magnoliopsida; Asterales; Asteraceae. The record is from RNAcentral.